ACGUCAAGGCACAUUCUCAAUAGGGUGAGAACCUACUCUCACCUCCUACAUAGUGGGCACACAAAGCAGUCUAUACUGCUACCAAAACCUUAUUAAUGUGUUGGGGGAGCUGCAACCAGACUGAGGAGCCAACAACCUCAAAUAUGUGCAAA
Spea bombifrons (plains spadefoot toad) is the source of this 152-nucleotide long non-coding RNA. RefSeq lists it as uncharacterized. The record is from RefSeq and is a predicted model, not a curated record. The transcript has 2 exons. Lineage: Eukaryota; Metazoa; Chordata; Amphibia; Anura; Pelobatidae.